RNAcentral lists this ribosomal RNA (329 nucleotides) under Pista maculata. RNAcentral describes it as "partial large subunit ribosomal RNA". It matches the Rfam family "Eukaryotic large subunit ribosomal RNA", at positions 42 to 365 of the family's 3401-position model. The record is from RNAcentral. Lineage: Eukaryota; Metazoa; Annelida; Polychaeta; Terebellida; Terebellidae.
AUUACUAAGCGGAGGAAAAGAAACUAACUAGGAUUCCCCUAGUAACGGCGAGUGAAGCGGGAAGAGCCCAGCACCGAAUCCCCUGCCCUUGGGUAGAGGGACCUGUGGUGUUUGGGACGUCGACUGUGCGUGUCGUCUGUCGUCCGAGUCCUCCUGAUCGGGGCCCCACCCAGAGCGGGUGUCAGGCCUCUACGACGACGGGUGGCCGCGCUCUAGGCGUCCUAGGAGUCGGGUUGUUUGGGAUUGCAGCCCAAAGUGGGUGGUAAACUCCAUCUAAGGCUAAAUACUGACACGAGUCCGAUAGCAGACAAGUACCGUGAGGGAAAGUU